GCCCUCUUAGCACAUUAGGCAGCGCGUCAGUCUCAUAAUCUGAAGGUCCUGAGUUCGUGCCUCAGAGAGGGCA
Molecule: transfer RNA, 73 nt
Organism: Ovis aries (sheep)
Lineage: Eukaryota; Metazoa; Chordata; Mammalia; Artiodactyla; Bovidae
Rfam family: tRNA
About the family: Transfer RNA (tRNA) molecules are approximately 80 nucleotides in length. Their secondary structure includes four short double-helical elements and three loops (D, anti-codon, and T loops).
Source: Rfam